GCAUGAGGGGGGGAGGGUCAGAGGGAGAAGCAGACUCCCCGCUGAGCAGGGAGCUCGAUGUGGGGCUUGAUCCCAGGACCCUGGGACCAUGACCUGAGCCGAAGGCAGACGCUUAACCGACUGAGCCACCCAAGUGCCCCACACCUGUUUUUCUUUUUAAAAAACAUGUGGCUGCUAGAAAGUUUAAAAUUACACAUGUGGCUUGCAUUAUGUUUCUGUUGGACAGAGCUCUGCUAGACAGUGAAUUUUAUGGCUAAAGUUUGGGCAGAGGCACUCUGCAUUGAAAGCGGUGGGUUCUUCUGGGUCCUUGGGCUUCAGUGUCCUCAUCCGUAAGACUAGGAGGCUGGGAUCCAUUAUCUCUAACAGAUUCUUCUAGCUUGAGCAGUGUGGUGGUGGCCAGCGAGCUGUCUGGGCCUCAGUUUCCUUAUUUGUCAGAUGGGGUGGAUGAUUCCUGCCUUGCCGUCUGCUCAUUUAUCCAGUUAGCGAAGGGAUGUGGAAACACUCGGAGAGCAUAGGGAACUGUAUGAAUGCCGGGACACACCUUUAGGCACCGCGAGAGGCUCAGCGAGGCAGAGUAAUCCAGAGAGGGAGGAAGGAGAGUAAUCCACGGUGUCUGGAGCUCCUGUGCCCUGUAUGAGGGCCAGAGGGCAGUUUUCUUUGUUGCUGUUUUGCUCAUGGAAGUGACUCGCCCAAGGUGAUGGGGGCAGGGUCAGUGUAGCUGGAGGAGGCCUGAGGGCUUUGGGUUUCUCGCUAGGUCUACUCGCACCCCUGCACUGUUUGCACCCCAGGGCGUUCGGGUCUGAUUGUCUCAUAGUGAAAGCCAAACUGCACUUUGGAGACUCUCUUCUCUCUUGGCUGGAGGUACCUGGGACACUGGGAACUGUGAGGCUGGAGGCUGGCCCCAGCGCAGGAGGCUGAGAAUUAAGCUUGUUGUUCUUGCCCUGCCACAUUCCAGGGCGGUUCUGUUCCCCUUGAGGCCACUGGGUACCUCCUUUAUUUUUAGCUAGUUCAGUGUAACAGCUUUGUUCUCGUCCUGGGCGGCAGCUUGGUCUCUCUCAUCAGCCGGGAAGCGCCUGUUAUGGGGUAUUAGUGCAUACCAAGGUCGCCAGGAGGACCUUGGGCAUGACCUCAAGGCCUUACACGGUUCUCCUAGCAAGAGGAUUCUGGGGAACUAGGGGAGGAGUGUCGAGUUUGGAGUCUUGAGCGGGAGCCACACCGGUUGCUGGGUGCUUGGGGUCCCUCACUUGAUUUCAUGGCCCCAGCUUCCUCCUGUGUAAGAUGCAGUCUCUGCGCCCCACCGCAAGUCAGGGCAGGUGGAUGCGCCCAGCAUGGGCCCUGUCCCUGCUUAACAUCUCCCUUCCCCAGACCUCAGUUUCUUAUCAAGAGCGGGGAUCCCAUUUUCCUCCUGAUUUGUUGUGAGUACAUAGAAGUGUCAAAUGGAUAAUCUGUGGUGCCCAGCCCAUGCUUGUUGAAAGGGAGCUCGGAGCUCGCAGUUAGAAGCAUAAAUAAUGGGGGCGCCUGGGUGGCUCAGUUGGUUAAGCGACUGCCUUCGGCUCAGGUCAUGAUCCUGGAGUCCCGGGAUCGAGUCCCGCAUCGGGCUCCCUGCUCGGCAGGGAGUCUGCUUCUCCCUCUGACCCUCCUCCCUCUCAUUCUCUCUGUCUCAAAUAAAUAAAUAAAAUCUUUAAAAAAAAAAAAAAAGAAGCAUAAAUAAUGGUAGAUAAGGGUGAAGAACCCUUUCCGGUCCCUGGGCUGCCUGAGGGGACGGACCUCCGUAAAGAGCCUGGGGAAAAGGAACCUCCCCUUACAAUAUUUUAACUUGCGGAAGGGGUCCUGUUUGCUCUGGUGAUAUUGGUGCACCCAUCUUUCACUUGGGAGCCUCUAGAGUAGAAUUCAUCUUCCCAAACACAUUUCCUCUGGAGGCUGUCAGGUAUUUAGCAGUCUCUGGGAGGCCUGAAGAGUGGAGUGAGAAUCACAGUUAUCUGUAGGGCUCUGUGUCCUGAUGGGCCUCAGCCUUGAGAUGCAGAUGUUGUGUGUGUGUGGGGGGGGGGGCGGUUAGAGGACCAGAGAACGCCUGGAACACUCUGUCCCUCAGGGAGAAGCAGUUGGCCCCACGCAGGUCCCCAGGAGGCUGAAGUGAGGGGCUGGGCCAUUCAGGGAAGAGGAGCGUCCUUAUCUGAGCCUGCAAACCCUUCUGAGACCUCCCUGCCUAGGCGGCAUCAGAGGCCUUCCCGCCCAGAAGUGCAGGCACUCAGCCCAGGGGAAAAGACACCCGGAGGGCUUUGCAGAGGACGCAAAAGGCCUGGAAGGCAUGUCCCCUGUCCCCUGGGUGCUCCCAGACUAGCUGGGGGCACAGAUCAUGUGUGUGUUGCUGCCACUGCUGGGAGAGGCUCUCCCGCUGCCAUGUGUCCACCGGGGCAAAUUAAUACCUACAUAGUGACCACUGAUGGCGGAGGGGAUGUCGAGGAGAGGAGCAGCUGCUGUUGGGCGGGGCGGAUCAUGGCAUGCCCCUCGGAGGAGGUGAGUCUGGAGGUGGACUUUGGGAGAAAGGAGGAGUGAGGCAUGGAGAGGCCCUUUACAGGCUGAGCAAGCAGAGGGGUUGGUGGAUCCAUGAGGAAAGGCCUUUGGGGGUGAAGAACCAUUGUUAGGGCCCCAGGCUGCCCGAGGGAAGGCAGGCUGGUGCUGGGACGGUGGCUCCCGUGGGGAACUCUGCAGGGUAAGGAUGUCUCUUCUUGUGGCCACGAGGAGCUGAGCAGGAGCUGCUCCCCAGUUGCCAAGAACAGGACAGAAACACAGGUUCCUUGGGCCGCCGCGCAUAGCAGUGAGGUGGGGCUGGGCACUGAGGAGCCUGGGCAGGCGGGAGGAGGGGCAGGAGGGGGGUUAGGCCAGCGCGCAGCACAGCAGGGCAGAGCCUUUGGGCUCAGUAUGGUUUUGAGCUUCCUUCCUGGGAUUUUGUGAAGGGGGACGAGAACAGGUCAGACAGCUUAUGGCUGGUGGAGAGUGAAGAGGAGUAGCAUGCUUUCUGCAAGGUGAGGGAGCCGUGCUGCCUGUAGAGUGGUGGGAGCUGUGGUCUUAAUGCCACCCACAUGCCCACAUCUCCCGGGCCUAGGAGGAACCUGGCCUGGGUUCUCCCCGGCUGAGUGGGAAAGCUUGCAGAGAAAGAAGCACAGGACCAGGACCCAGGGAACUUGGUGUCUACCCCAGUUCUCUUGCUGACCAGUGGUCACCUUGGCCGUUUGAAGAACCUCUUUGGCCUCUGAUUUUUCCUUAGGGCAUUGGAAGUAAUGGCACCAUCACCAUGUCCCUGGACAGGAUAGUUUGAGGACCACUGUGAAAGUGCUGUGCAUAGUAGAGAGAGGCCUUUGUAGUUCAAGGUCAUGUGAACACACCCCACGUUACAGAUGGGAAAACCCAGGUGCCUACGGGAUAUAAAAGCCAGAGGCGGACGCGGAUGUCCGCGUUACCCUGUCCGUGCCUCAUCAUUGAACCAGGCAGGGUCCUGAGGAAAUCUAAGUAUGGUUCUUAGUGUGAGUCUUAAAGGCAGGUCCUGGAGGAAAUAGGAAGGUGGGGUUAAGAUUUCAAAGGAGAAAGUGUUUAUGAUUCCAUUUUUCCCCUUCUCCCACCCCCAGGUACGAUUCCAUUUUUGUAAAACAAACAAACAAACAAACAAAAAAAGGCGAGCUCUGUAUGUAUGAGUGUUUAGGUAGAAAAACCAUCCUAAUCCAUAAAGCUCUUAGCAGGGAUUUCUCUGGGAAGACUGGGGGGGAGAAAUUAUACUUUUUACUUUUAUGCAUUUUUGUGUUGUAUGAACUUUUUAAUAAUAAGUGUAUAUUGCUUAUUGUGACUAUAACUUACUGUUAGUUAAAAAAAAAAAGAACAACCUAAUAAAACAGAACAAUGUUUCAGAGGAAUUUCGCCAGAGUCUUUAAUUUGCCGUGGUUUCGGGCAUAUGGCUGCGCUGCCUUUAGUGGUCUCUUCUACAGAAUGGGUCAGUAAUGUUUGGUAAUCAGUGCAUUUCUCCUAGCUAAGUAAGUCAAGGACACGUGAUUACCAGUUAGGGCACAGAGGGAGAUGGCCUCCCUUUUGAUCAUUUCGAUGGGGGGGGUUGGGAAAUGUUAUUUGAUGUUUACCUUGUUCUUGGCACAUUCUUAAAAUUUUCCCGGUAGCUGUCUGAGGUGAAAGCAUUAUUAUCGCCUUUAACAGUGAGGAAGGCAAGACUCAGCCAGGUUAAGUAACUUGUCCAAAGCCACACAGCUACUAAAUGGCAGAUCCGAGGUUCAAACCCCGUUCUCUUCAUCCACAGUCCCGUGUUCUUUCCAAGGCGUAAGGAGAAGCCCAGAAUGAGGGCUUAGAAGACCUGGGAUCUAGACCCGGCUGCCACUUCCAAACCAUGAGACCUGGUACGGGACGACGUGUGUGACAGUCCUGAGUAUAAACGGCAGAGCCCUCGGCAGAUGGCGAACUAUUAUCCAAGUGACACUCAUCGGCCCGGUUCUCUCCUGAGUCAGCCUCCCUAAGAGAAGUGAAUCCGAUGUUGAAAUCUCUGCCCUGUCCUGAAGCAAGAGUUUUCUUAACCCUCCACUGCCUGCCCCUCAGUUGUCUUUGCGAGUAGAGCGUCUCCCGGGGGAAGUUCACUUGGAAGGCGGGCGCGGGGCACCUGCAGUCACCCCUGUGCCCUGCCUUGUUCUGGGGCCUCGUGGCGGAGCCGAGGAGAGAAGGAGUGAAAAAUUUCCAUGGCCAUGUCCCCGUCCACCGGGGGGGGGGAGGGGGGUGUGUGUGUCAAAAUGCCCAGGUCACCAGGGGUGACCGUGCCUCCUGCCACAAGGGCGUGUUCCCUCGGGCAUGUCCGGUCUUGAGUUGGUGUUUUGUGCGUGUUCUGUUGGGAGCAGGAGCAGGGGCUGAGGUCGGGCCCAGCGGUGUUCGCGUGCAGCCCAGUGCGGGCCCCUGGCCUCUCUCGCUAGCCCGACAGCUCUGAGCCAGAGGAGCUGGGGGGGGGGGGGGGCGUGCUCUCUCUGCCGGGGUCUCCUCCGGCCUCUGCCGUGGUCCAGCUUCGGGCGUGGCCGAGAGCUUCCAGGCCUUCCUGGUCCGCAGGAAGGCCAAUCCAGGACAAGGGUUUGCACAGUAUUAGGGCACCUUCCCUUCAGGGGCUGGGGAGAGGUGCCCGGAGCCGGGGCGGGGGUCCUUCUCAGUCUUGGCCUAGGGUCUGCGGGACCCAGCCCGCGGGGCGGUGUCUGGGAGCCUGGCACCUCCCCGUUUCCUUCCCAGUCGGCCCGGAGGCCUGCGUGCGUGUGUCAGACGCCACGUGCGAGAGGGAGCGGGGGCGGGGGGGGUGAGGGCGGGCUGAGGGUUCCUGUCACGGAUUUCUGGGAGCUUCUGGCCUGUGACAGACCAUCCGAAGGCCGAGGCUUGCGGCUUGCAGCCUCCGGGGGUGCUGUGCUGUGGCCUCUGGUCACCAAACUGCAGAGGAAGGGGUUGGAGGCACAGGAGGGAUCCUUGGGCACCCGCGUGCGGCCGAGCAGCAGCCCCUGUUUGCGCAUGUGUCAGGGGAGGGCGGGGCGCAGGGAGGAGGGGCGCGAUCUGAGACGCUGAGGAGAGGGGAUAGAAAUGGACAAGUUGAGAAGACCGCAGACGUCGGCCAAACCCCCGGAGAGCAGAAGUUGUCCUUCCUCAGGGCUGCCUCCCUCUGCCGGCCUCGGCUCCUGGGCCUCUGGCCCCACCGAAGGGAUAGCAGCUCUCCUGCUGGGUUUCUUGCAGGGCGCAGCCGCCCCGAGAUGCGCAGCACGCGGGCAGGGGGGUUGGCCUGACACCCUCCCUCCCUCCCGCCAGCCACGACCCAGUCGCCUUUCCCAGGUGGACAGGGGCAGUGCGGCCAGCUGCCAGGCAGGGCUGGCCUGAACGAGGGGAGCGAGGCCCCUGGCUCAGUGAGGCGCUGGGCACUCUGGGCCCUUGGGAGUGUUCCACAAGUGUCCCCCACGUGGGCUUUGCACCUGUGUUUCCUGCGCCGCUUGAAGGGCCCCAGUCCGUGUGCCGGGGACCCGCUGAGCCCUGCACCGGGCACUGCCUGGCUGGCCAGCCCACCCCCGGCCCAGCAUCUACGCUGGUUCAGAGGCCCCUCCUGAGCUCCCGAAGACCGGUAGAAAGGGCUCCCCAUGGCGUACUCUCUCAUUCACAUAAGAUCCAGGAGGCCUCAGGCUCAGUUGCAGCUCGGCCCCAACUUUUACCUUCUUUUUGGACCCCGUUUCCACAUAUCCUCUGAGAGGGGUUGUCCCACAUAAUGAUUCAUGAAUUUGAACCAGGGGAGGAAAGCCUCCCCUCCAAAGAUGCUUGGGGGCUGGCUUGUGUUCUAUGUCCCCAACCUGCUUCCUCCUUUGAGCUUCUAGGCUCUUUUAGGUUUUUUUCUCGGAUCAGUGUCCCUGUGCUAACCUGCACCUUGAGUCAAGGGGCAGGAUGGCUGUGGAGCUGCAGAGAGCCUUGGCUUUUCUAGAAGCUUCUUCCUGUCCAGCUGGAAAACCUCAGCUGCUUUACUUGGGCUUGCCUUCCACAGAAUAGGGGAACUGGUCUUCCCUGAGGGAUGGGAACAAUUGUAGGGAACAGCGUUAGACUUGCAGGUAUGAGACCUGACUCUCUUGGCUGUGUCUUUGAACUAAUCACUUUGCUUUGUGGAGCCUCAGUUUCUGCAUCUGUAAAAUGGGGAUCAAGAGUGUGUCCCUGAUAGGGUUGUUUUGAAGGUUAAAUGACCUACUGGAUAUGAAAACGCUCGAUAUACUGUGAGUCAUAAGAUAAAUAUAGAGUAGUAUUCUAGCAUUUAGUAUGAAUGAAAUUCCUCUUUUGUACCAGGCAACCGGGUGAGUUCCUUUCCCUAGGGAACUCACAUGUUUUAUCAGAAGAGAUAGACCUGUCAAUAAACACCUCAUGAUGGAGGGUGGGGAACAUGAUAGCAGAAGCAUGUCCCAAAUGCUAGAGUAGCAAUGUGACGUUUAUUGAUUUAGUGCAUGGUCUUGCCCCUGCUCACCCAUUCUGUCCCCAGCAGACAGCUCAAUCUCACUGAAACACGAAUCUCAUUGUUGAAUACUCGUCAAAGUCAUCCCAAGGCUCGCUGUGCUUUGGGAUCAAGUCUAAACUUGUUAACGUGUGUUACUAGAUCCUGCACAAUUUAGCACCUCACAGUCUUUCUAGUUGCCUCACUUUUUACACUGUGCUUGAUCCAUAUUGAAUUUCUUUCUGUUCCUUGCACCCCCCCCGCCCCCGCCUUUGGCCUUCACACAUGCUCUUGACUGUGCCUGGAUGCACACCCUGACAUCACGCCUCCGGGAAGACUUCUCAGUAGACUUCUGCUCCUGGGGCUGCUCACACACCCUUGUAUCGUGACUGCCUCUCCCCCGCCAGACUGUGGGCACCACGACAGCAAGUUUUGCUGAUCUGGUGCCAGCCUUGGGGGUAGGACAGAGCGUGUCUUUUCCUGAGGCCGUGAUUCUGGCAAUUUCUACUUAAGCUCUUGGUAGUUUCUGAUUGCUCUUCUCUGCAAAGCUUUAUCACAAGGGGGAAGGGAAAAGGUGGCUAUGGUAGGAGAGCUUGGGGUUGGGGGCAGGGUUGUCUCUGGCCGCUGAGGACACUGGGGGACUCCUGCCAAUGUGCUGAUGGUUCGUGAGGUAGGGGACAGGCAGGGCCUGGGGGAGCACAAGGCAUGGAGACCAGAGUGAGCAGAAGGCUGCCCCGGCUCAAAUAUGCAGAAAUGACCUAGGGCUGGGGACUCUGUGUCCUUGAGUCAGGACGUUUCCAGCCACCCUGCAAAGUGAGCAUGAGAUGCCAUUCUCAGAAGCAAAUAAGCAUCAAGGUCUUUUCAGCCUCAUUGGGUCAUAAAUCUCUCUCUCCAUCCCCCGGGAGCCUUCCGUGUGCAAGGCUGCGUGCAAGGCACUGGGGGGUCAAGGUGAAUGGAGCAGGCCCUGUAAAGGUGACAGGUGCAGAAAGCUGUGAUCCAGGCUCUACCGUGCAGAGAGAGCAGUGCUGAGGGAGGGGUCAUCUCCAGCCUGAGGAACUCCGACAUCUGCAGGAGGAGGUGAGAUUUGAUCUGAACCUGGAAGGGUAGGGGAGAUUUGGAUAGCUGGGAAGAGAAGGAAGGGCUUUUUGGUGGGAAAGCCCAGGGAUCCCCCCAGGAAUGGUCGAGGUGUUUAGGCCGGAGUUCCGAGAGCACGAAGCCACACCUGCAGAGUGUUGGCACCUCGGACAUGGAAGACACUGCGAGGCUUUGAGCACGGAAAAGAAUUGACCAGGGUUGCACUUUAAGAAGGUGACUGUGGCAGUGUUGUACAGGAUGGGUUGGAAGGGAGAGAGAUUGAAGAUGGAAAACCAUUACAGUGAAUGACUGAGGAGGAGUCAGGAAUGAGGAAGGAGAAAUCCAGGCACAUGGCUGUCAGGGCUUCCUAAGCCAAAGGGAAGCAAAAAGAAUGAAUGGUGAGACAAGGUGACUUAGAGCUGGGUACACAGUAGGUGCCCAAUAAAUACUUUCUGAGAGAAUAAAUGGGAAGAUACUAUGAAGGAAGAAUAGCCAGCGACAGUCCAAGGGGUCUGUGGUUAGGAGCCUUGGAACCCCAAGGAGAAUGGGGAGCCCAGGAAGAGCAGUAGAUUGGGGCAGUACUAGGAAUGACUUGGAAGUAUGGGCAUGUCGGCCCUGGCCCAUGGGUGUGGGAGCCUGGGGGCUGUCUCCGUACCUUCUGGGAACGGUGGAGUUAAGGUCUCUCUGCUCUGGGCCUGCCGCCCCUUGUCCUGAAUGAUUCCAGCCCUUUGGCCACUGUUUCCACCCACCUAGAAAUCGUGCCCGAGGAAACCCACCAGCACCACUGUGUCAUGUUAACACUAAUGUUUAUUGAGCACUUUCUGUGUUCUAAGUGCUUCUCCGUCUCAUCUGAUCUUAAAACUCCCAUCUGUGAGAUUUACCAUGUCAGUUUCUCAGUUGAGGAAACUGAAAAUCACACAGCUGUUAAGUGAUGGUGCUGGGAUUUGAACCCCACGUGGCUGGCUCUGGCACCCUCGUUCUUAACCUCUGUGACACUGCCAUCCACUUGAGGAUGAGCCAGCUACUUCUCACAGAGGAAAGGAGUCAUGUGUAGGCUUAGGGCGCCUCCGGCACGUGCUUGGGGAUCGAAGGGCAACUUCCGUGUAACAUUCGAGGAUUGGAAGGGACUUGGAGCUACCUGGUUCAUUUUACAGGAAGAACUGGGGCUCGGAGCAUUUGCAAGACUGCUCUGAGGGCCGUGGCUGAUGGCAUUUGCAUGACUGCCUAUCUCAUCAUGUGGUGUGUCAGAGUCUGUGGGAGCUGGUUUGUCCUAGACAGGCGGGCACCUCACCCUGUCCUGUCCUGCCCCAGCCAGACUCAAGCUGAACUGACCUUCUUCAGGCUUUGCCUCACUUUCCUUCCUUCUUAUC
Long non-coding RNA from Mirounga angustirostris (Northern elephant seal), 9420 nucleotides. RefSeq lists it as uncharacterized. Lineage: Eukaryota; Metazoa; Chordata; Mammalia; Carnivora; Phocidae. The record is from RefSeq and is a predicted model, not a curated record. The transcript is spliced from 2 exons.